RNAcentral lists this ribosomal RNA (253 nucleotides) under uncultured bacterium. RNAcentral describes it as "partial 16S ribosomal RNA". It matches the Rfam family "Bacterial small subunit ribosomal RNA", at positions 524 to 776 of the family's 1533-position model. The record is from RNAcentral.
UACGAAGGGGGCUAGCGUUGUUCGGAAUCACUGGGCGUAAAGGGCGCGUAGGCGGCUUGAUAAGUCGGGGGUGAAAGCCUGUGGCUCAACCACAGAAUUGCCUUCGAUACUGUCGAGCUUGAGACCGGAAGAGGUAAGUGGAACUGCGAGUGUAGAGGUGAAAUUCGUAGAUAUUCGCAAGAACACCAGUGGCGAAGGCGGCUUACUGGUCCGGUUCUGACGCUGAGGCACGAAAGCGUGGGGAGCAAACAGG